Branchiostoma floridae (Florida lancelet) is the source of this 462-nucleotide long non-coding RNA. RefSeq lists it as uncharacterized. The transcript has 3 exons. NCBI's taxonomy places the organism in Eukaryota, Metazoa, Chordata, Leptocardii, Amphioxiformes, Branchiostomatidae. The record is from RefSeq and is a predicted model, not a curated record.
GGAGGAUAUGUGACUGAAGCGGCACAAGAAAACCUGUUUCGACGCUAUGGAUGAAGAAUUUCAAGCCAGGUUCCUAACGACUGGGCGAGGUUGUCGCAGUUGGUACUGAGGUUCAGUCGCAGAAACAGUGACACUUACCUCCUUCCAUCUUGUUGCAGGUGGAAUGUAGAUUGUACAAACUCCCAGAUGUAGCUGAUAUUAGACCGGAGAGCGGAGCAGAGAUAUUGAAUGGUAGUGGUGCAGCCAGUUCCAUUAGCAUUAAGUUUGUUACAGAAUACUGUUGCUACCACAGAAAGUAAUAAGUACGACUGUUGUUUUUGUAAAAAGUUGUUUACAAAUGCAUUAUUAGUAUUGAUUAAAUAAGGAGAAGUACAUGUACAGUGUGUACCUGCACUACGGUACAUCAAAGAAAUCUAUGUCGAUUGUAUGUAUCCUGAAGAUAGCCUUUGACCUUGGAAAAUG